RNAcentral lists this ribosomal RNA (254 nucleotides) under uncultured bacterium. RNAcentral's name for it is "partial 16S ribosomal RNA". It matches the Rfam family "Bacterial small subunit ribosomal RNA", at positions 524 to 776 of the family's 1533-position model. The record is from RNAcentral.
UACAGAGGUCUCAAGCGUUGUUCGGAUUCAUUGGGCGUAAAGGGCGCGUAGGCGGCUCGGUAAGUAGGGGGUGAAAUCCUGCGGCUCAACCGCAGGGCUGCCUUCUAAACUGUCGAGCUCGAGCACGGUAGAGGCAGAUGGAAUUCCCGGUGUAGCGGUGGAAUGCGUAGAGAUCGGGGAAGAACAUCAGUGGCGAAGGCGGUCUGCUGGGCCGUUGCUGACGCUGAGGCGCGACACGUGGGGGAGCAAACAGG